UAUUUUUCGCAUGUGCGACGUCAAGACAUAGCAUGGAACUCACGAUGUUCGGCUGGUUCGGCGAUACACGAUUCCGUUUGGGACAGCACCUGGCAGGCCUGGAAAGGCGAUGUACGCAACAAUUACGACAUGCGGUUGGUUCAGUACUCAUUCGCGGUACGCCCGCGGCACACGGUUCGGGGUUUCGCGGGCUCAUAUAAAAUAUACUGACCUCAGAAUUAUGCACAUCAGAUUCGUUACUGAUGUUAAGACCGUUGUCGCCAGAAGUUGCUCCGAAGAUCGUGGGGACGGCUCCUACAUCGAGCCACAUCUUCUUUGGCGCCAUCCCGAACAGCGCUUGCAGAAGAUCCCUGACCAUAUAUGCGUCAUCAGCUAAAUGUGCGGAACACACUCGUUUCACAUUCAGGACUUUCGUUGAAGACGCUUCGAGUGUGUGAUUCUCGAUGGUUGCUUCCCAUUUACGCUUCGUCGCUUCGUCCUUCGGGGUAUAAAAACUCAGAUUGCCAUUGACAACAGACCUGUUGUUACACCCAGGCACGCUACAAUAGUUUCCACCACUCGGCAUGUUCCGUAGGUGUAACGAUGAGAAAUUCACGAAACACAGAACGAUAGUGUACUAGGCAAGCUCAAGGCGCCAAGUGAUUUUAUUUAGGUCGAGUCAUCCCAGCUUCCCUUUGCUCUCGAAAUGAGGACGCAAAGGUGGAUUGACACCGUUUCUCUAAACCAGCAAGUAGGCCGCUUCUUACAAUAUGCGUCUUUCUCUUGGCAACUGAAAGAAAAUGUACGAAGGUUCCACGGUCUCCAGACACUUCUCAAAGUCGUCUGCUAGCGCGCGCGAAAGCAGACGAUUUCUACAUCCAAUCAUGGAGUUUCUCGUAGUGCCCGCACGCCGACGUACCGGUUGUUGAUGUUGCCAACACAAAUCGCGGUAUGCUGUGCAAUCCUUAUCGAUUUAAUUCGUUUAUUUAAUAACCGUGACGUGCUUUGUCGGGUAAAUUCGCACUAUUCCAUUUCCAACAAAGGGCAAUCGAAUUGUGCACUUUAUGAGAGGGCCAGGGGGUACGAGACCAUCCCUUUAAAUACCGUGUGCGGAUAUUUGGACAUAUACAUUAAAAAAUCAUCAUCUGGACAAAAUUGCUCGUUGCCAUUUUUUCGCUGGUUACUGAUCCACGAAUGCGGUGCCAUUCACUCAAGGCCAAAUCGAGAGACGGGGCGGAAUUUUCCACGUGUGCUUUAACAUCCGCCCGAAACAGGAUGAUCGAUUAUUAGUAAUACGGGCAAAGACCGGAUGGUAAAACAUUUCCCGGACGUCUUGCGUUCCUGCCUUCUAGACGACUGCGGUACUAGUCCCGCUACUGAUAAAGACCCAUACGAGGGACAUAAGAGGGGAACUCGCUAACAGUUCCAACAGACAGUCCAUCAUGAAGGUUUUGAUCCUAAUCUUGAGCCUGGUGGUGCUCAUUUCCUCGGUAGCCACGGCGCCCACCUUCUUCACAUAUGAAGGCGUCGAAGGCGAACAAGGUGUCGGAGUCGGAAUUGGUGGAGUCGGUCUCGGUGUAGGUGUCGACCCUGACGGCGGCUUCCUAGGAACGGGCAUUGAUGUUGGCCUUACGGGUGACCUACCCGGCUUGUUGACAAGCGGUUUCGAUCGGCCUGGUGCCCUCUUGGGUAUUCUGGCCAAGUGAGAGCCACCGCACUAAGUGUACGGUGGAGAACGCACAAGAGCUAAUAAACGAUAAAGAUUGCAUUGAACUGAAUUGAAUUUGAAAUGAAAAAUAAAGAGUGCGUUUAUGAGGAGAAA
Long non-coding RNA from Ornithodoros turicata, 1801 nucleotides. RefSeq lists it as uncharacterized. NCBI's taxonomy places the organism in Eukaryota, Metazoa, Arthropoda, Arachnida, Ixodida, Argasidae. The record is from RefSeq and is a predicted model, not a curated record. The transcript is spliced from 2 exons.